RNAcentral lists this ribosomal RNA (253 nucleotides) under uncultured bacterium. Its description in RNAcentral is "partial 16S ribosomal RNA". It matches the Rfam family "Bacterial small subunit ribosomal RNA", at positions 524 to 776 of the family's 1533-position model. The record is from RNAcentral.
UACGGGGGGGGCAAGCGUUGUUCGGAAUUACUGGGCGUAAAGGGCUCGUAGGCGGCCAACUAAGUCGGACGUGAAAUCUCCAGGCUCAACCUGGGAACUGCGUCCGAUACUGGAUGGCUUGAAUCCGGGAGAGGGAUGCAGAAUUCCAGGUGUAGCGGUGAAAUGCGUAGAUAUCUGGAGGAAUACCGGUGGCGAAGGCGGCAUCCUGGACCGGCAUUGACGCUGAGGAGCGAAAGCUAGGGGAGCAAACGGG